This is a non-coding RNA of Podarcis lilfordi (Lilford's wall lizard), 78 nucleotides long. The record is from the annotation of a GenBank genome assembly. NCBI's taxonomy places the organism in Eukaryota, Metazoa, Chordata, Lepidosauria, Squamata, Lacertidae.
UGAGUUACUGGUAUAGCUCAGUCAUAGAGCAUUUGCUUUGCAUGCAGAAGGUCCUUGGUUCCAUCCCCAGAAUCUCAA